This 491-nucleotide ribosomal RNA is filed under the name uncultured bacterium. RNAcentral's name for it is "partial 16S ribosomal RNA". It matches the Rfam family "Bacterial small subunit ribosomal RNA", at positions 29 to 506 of the family's 1533-position model. The record is from RNAcentral.
AGUGAACGCUGGCGGUAGGCCUAACACAUGCAAGUCGAACGGCAGCACAGUAAGAGCUUGCUCUUACGGGUGGCGAGUGGCGGACGGGUGAGGAAUACAUCGGAAUCUACUUUUUCGUGGGGGAUAACGUAGGGAAACUUACGCUAAUACCGCAUACGACCUACGGGUGAAAGCAGGGGAUCUUCGGACCUUGCGCGAUUGAAUGAGCCGAUGUCGGAUUAGCUAGUUGGCGGGGUAAAGGCCCACCAAGGCGACGAUCCGUAGCUGGCCUGAGAGGAUGAUCAGCCACACUGGAACUGAGACACGGUCCAGACUCCUACGGGGGGCAGCAGUGGGGAAUAUUGGACAAUGGGCGCAAGCCUGAUCCAGCCAUACCGCGUGGGUGAAGAAGGCCUUCGGGUUGUAAAGCCCUUUUGUUGGGAAAGAAAAGCAGCAGGUUAAUACCCCGCUGUUCUGACGGUACCCAAAGAAUAAGCACCGGCUAACUUCGU